GAAAGAAGAAGAAUAGGUGAAGGAUGUAGCCUAUUUCUUUUUCUCCCCAUUUUUCAGUUUUUUCUCUUCUCUUUCUCGGUAUUU
This 84-nucleotide non-coding RNA is filed under the name Protocruzia adhaerens. The record is from RNAcentral. Lineage: Eukaryota; Ciliophora; Spirotrichea.